GGAUGCGAUCAUACCAGCACUAAAGCACCGGAUCCCAUUAGAACUCCGAAGUUAAGCGUGCUUGGGCGAGAGUAGUACUAGGAUGGGCGACCUCCUGGGAAGUCCUCGUGUUGCAUUCC
This 119-nucleotide ribosomal RNA is filed under the name Triticum aestivum (bread wheat). The record is from RNAcentral. Lineage: Eukaryota; Viridiplantae; Streptophyta; Magnoliopsida; Poales; Poaceae.